Long non-coding RNA from Solanum pennellii, 541 nucleotides. RefSeq lists it as uncharacterized. The transcript has 2 exons. The record is from RefSeq and is a predicted model, not a curated record. Lineage: Eukaryota; Viridiplantae; Streptophyta; Magnoliopsida; Solanales; Solanaceae.
CUAUAACACUAUUAAGGAUAAGCGGGAUGUUAGUGAAAUUGUCCAGUAUACUUACUCAAGAAGAGUCAAGACUUAAGAAACAAAGAGGUCAUUCCAUAACCUCAUGGGUCAAGAAGCUGGUAAAGGACUUAAAGUAAAAGCUAGCAAGCUUAAGAAAAGGAAAGCACCUGCUAAAGUUCCACAGGAUGCUCAUAAGGAACUCAAGGCUGAUGUGCGUCAUUUCUGCAAAAGGAAGGACACUGUCAGAGAGAUUGUCUGAAACAUAAAGUUUGAUUUGAAAAGAAAGGGAUUCACUACGAUCCAAAAUACGAAUACAAAUAAAAAAAUUUCUUGUUCAUAGAAAAUCACAUGAAGGCUAAAAUUGAAGGCAUAGGGACUUAUCGUUUGAACUUGGAGACUAGACAUCACCUUGAUCUAUUACAGACUUUUUAUGUUCCUUCAGUUUCUAGAAAUUUGAUUUCCCUUUCAAGACUUGAUGUUUUUGGAUUUGAUUUUAAGUUUGGAUAUAGAUGUUUCAAUUUAUAUAAGAAUAUUAUUUUUA